UACGUAGGGUGCAAGCGUUGUCCGGAAUUAUUGGGCGUAAAGAGCUUGUAGGCGGUUUGUCGCGUCUGCUGUGAAAUUUCGGGGCUCAACCCCGAACUUGCAGUGGGUACGGGCAGACUAGAGUGUGGUAGGGGAGACUGGAAUUCCGGGUGUAGCGGUGAAAUGCGCAGAUAUCAGGAGGAACACCGAUGGCGAAGGCAGGUCUCUGGGCCACUACUGACGCUGAGAAGCGAAAGCAUGGGGAGCGAACAGG
This 253-nucleotide ribosomal RNA is filed under the name uncultured bacterium. Its description in RNAcentral is "partial 16S ribosomal RNA". It matches the Rfam family "Bacterial small subunit ribosomal RNA", at positions 524 to 776 of the family's 1533-position model. The record is from RNAcentral.